This 1528-nucleotide ribosomal RNA is filed under the name Klebsiella pneumoniae. RNAcentral's name for it is "bacterial SSU rRNA". It matches the Rfam family "Bacterial small subunit ribosomal RNA". The record is from RNAcentral. Lineage: Bacteria; Pseudomonadati; Pseudomonadota; Gammaproteobacteria; Enterobacterales; Enterobacteriaceae.
AGAGUUUGAUCAUGGCUCAGAUUGAACGCUGGCGGCAGGCCUAACACAUGCAAGUCGAGCGGUAGCACAGAGAGCUUGCUCUCGGGUGACGAGCGGCGGACGGGUGAGUAAUGUCUGGGAAACUGCCUGAUGGAGGGGGAUAACUACUGGAAACGGUAGCUAAUACCGCAUAAUGUCGCAAGACCAAAGUGGGGGACCUUCGGGCCUCAUGCCAUCAGAUGUGCCCAGAUGGGAUUAGCUAGUAGGUGGGGUAACGGCUCACCUAGGCGACGAUCCCUAGCUGGUCUGAGAGGAUGACCAGCCACACUGGAACUGAGACACGGUCCAGACUCCUACGGGAGGCAGCAGUGGGGAAUAUUGCACAAUGGGCGCAAGCCUGAUGCAGCCAUGCCGCGUGUGUGAAGAAGGCCUUCGGGUUGUAAAGCACUUUCAGCGGGGAGGAAGGCGUUAAGGUUAAUAACCUUGGCGAUUGACGUUACCCGCAGAAGAAGCACCGGCUAACUCCGUGCCAGCAGCCGCGGUAAUACGGAGGGUGCAAGCGUUAAUCGGAAUUACUGGGCGUAAAGCGCACGCAGGCGGUCUGUCAAGUCGGAUGUGAAAUCCCCGGGCUCAACCUGGGAACUGCAUUCGAAACUGGCAGGCUAGAGUCUUGUAGAGGGGGGGAGAAUUCCAGGUGUAGCGGUGAAAUGCGUAGAGAUCUGGAGGAAUACCGGUGGCGAAGGCGGCCCCCUGGACAAAGACUGACGCUCAGGUGCGAAAGCGUGGGGAGCAAACAGGAUUAGAUACCCUGGUAGUCCACGCCGUAAACGAUGUCGAUUUGGAGGUUGUGCCCUUGAGGCGUGGCUUCCGGAGCUAACGCGUUAAAUCGACCGCCUGGGGAGUACGGCCGCAAGGUUAAAACUCAAAUGAAUUGACGGGGGCCCGCACAAGCGGUGGAGCAUGUGGUUUAAUUCGAUGCAACGCGAAGAACCUUACCUGGUCUUGACAUCCACAGAACUUAGCAGAGAUGCUUUGGUGCCUUCGGGAACUGUGAGACAGGUGCUGCAUGGCUGUCGUCAGCUCGUGUUGUGAAAUGUUGGGUUAAGUCCCGCAACGAGCGCAACCCUUAUCCUUUGUUGCCAGCGGUCCGGCCGGGAACUCAAAGGAGACUGCCAGUGAUAAACUGGAGGAAGGUGGGGAUGACGUCAAGUCAUCAUGGCCCUUACGACCAGGGCUACACACGUGCUACAAUGGCAUAUACAAAGAGAAGCGACCUCGCGAGAGCAAGCGGACCUCAUAAAGUAUGUCGUAGUCCGGAUUGGAGUCUGCAACUCGACUCCAUGAAGUCGGAAUCGCUAGUAAUCGUAGAUCAGAAUGCUACGGUGAAUACGUUCCCGGGCCUUGUACACACCGCCCGUCACACCAUGGGAGUGGGUUGCAAAAGAAGUAGGUAGCUUAACCUUCGGGAGGGCGCUUACCACUUUGUGAUUCAUGACUGGGGUGAAGUCGUAACAAGGUAACCGUAGGGGAACCUGCGGUUGGAUCACCU